This 518-nucleotide ribosomal RNA is filed under the name fungal sp. R31. Its description in RNAcentral is "eukaryotic LSU rRNA". The stretch from base 181 to 334 matches the Rfam family "5.8S ribosomal RNA". Lineage: Eukaryota; Fungi. The record is from RNAcentral.
AGGGAUCAUUACAGAGUUCAUGCCCUCCGGGUAGAUCUCCCACCCACUGCUAUCACUACUCUCGUUGCUUUGGCGGGCCGUUGGGCCCUGCCCGGCCGCCGGCCCCGGCUGGCGCGUGCCCGCCAGAGACCUCACAGACUCUGAAUGUUAGUGUCGUCCGAGUAACUAUAUAAUCGUUAAAACUUUCAACAACGGAUCUCUUGGUUCUGGCAUCGAUGAAGAACGCAGCGAAAUGCGAUAAGUAAUGCGAAUUGCAGAAUUCAGUGAGUCAUCGAAUCUUUGAACGCACAUUGCGCCCUGUGGUAUUCCGCAGGGCAUGCCUGUUCGAGCGUCAUUUCAACCCUCAAGCCUCGCUAGGUGUUGGGCCCUGCCCGCCGCGGCCGGCCCUAAAGAUAGUGGCGGCGCCGCCUGGCCCUCAGCGUAGUACAGCUCUCGCUCCAGGGUCCGGCGGCAGCCUGCCAGAACCCCCCAACUCUGUGGUUGACCUCGGAUCAGGUAGGGAUACCCGCUGAACUUAA